CAGCCGCCGCGGUAAUACGUAGGUCCCGAGCGUUGUCCGGAUUUAUUGGGCGUAAAGCGAGCGCAGGCGGUUAGACAAGUCUGAAGUUAAAGGCUGUGGCUUAACCAUAGUACGCUUUGGAAACUAUUUAACUUGAGUGCAAGAGGGGAGAGUGGAAUUCCAUGUGUAGCGGUGAAAUGCGUAGAUAUAUGGAGGAACACCGGUGGCGAAAGCGGCUCUCUGGCUUGUAACUGACGCCGAGGCUCGAAAGCGUGGGGAGCAAACAGGAUUAGAUACCCCCGUAGUCCCUGUCUCUUAUACC
RNAcentral lists this ribosomal RNA (301 nucleotides) under uncultured bacterium. Its description in RNAcentral is "partial 16S ribosomal RNA". It matches the Rfam family "Bacterial small subunit ribosomal RNA", at positions 509 to 808 of the family's 1533-position model. The record is from RNAcentral.